GGUUAGUAACACGUGGAUAACCUACCUAUAAGACUGGGAUAACUUCGGGAAACCGGAGCUAAUACCGGAUAAUAUAUUGAACCGCAUGGUUCAAUAGUGAAAGACGGUUUUGCUGUCACUUAUAGAUGGAUCCGCGCCGCAUUAGCUAGUUGGUAAGGUAACGGCUUACCAAGGCAACGAUGCGUAGCCGACCUGAGAGGGUGAUCGGCCACACUUGAACUGAGACACGGUCCAG
Molecule: ribosomal RNA, 235 nt
Filed under: uncultured Staphylococcus sp.
Lineage: Bacteria; Bacillati; Bacillota; Bacilli; Caryophanales; Staphylococcaceae
Description: partial 16S ribosomal RNA
Rfam family: Bacterial small subunit ribosomal RNA
Source: RNAcentral